RNAcentral lists this ribosomal RNA (265 nucleotides) under uncultured prokaryote. RNAcentral's name for it is "partial 16S ribosomal RNA". It matches the Rfam family "Bacterial small subunit ribosomal RNA", at positions 524 to 788 of the family's 1533-position model. The record is from RNAcentral.
UACGUAGGUGGCGAGCGUUGUCCGGAUUUACUGGGCGUAAAGGGAGCGUAGGCGGACUUUUAAGUGAGAUGUGAAAUACCCGGGCUCAACUUGGGUGCUGCAUUUCAAACUGGAAGUCUAGAGUGCAGGAGAGGAGAAUGGAAUUCCUAGUGUAGUGGUGAAAUGUGUAGAGAUUAGGAAGAACACCAGUGGCGAAGGCGAUUCUCUGGACUGUAACUGACGCUGAGGCUCGAAAGCGUGGGGAGCAAACAGGAUUAGAUACCCU